AACGCUAGCUACAGGCUUAACACAUGCAAGUCGAGGGGCAGCAUGGUCUUAGCUUGCUAAGGCCGAUGGCGACCGGCGCACGGGUGAGUAACACGUAUCCAACCUGCCGUCUACUCUUGGACAGCCUUCUGAAAGGAAGAUUAAUACAAGAUGGCAUCAUGAGUCCGCAUGUUCACAUGAUUAAAGGUAUUCCGGUAGACGAUGGGGAUGCGUUCCAUUAGAUAGUAGGCGGGGUAACGGCCCACCUAGUCUUCGAUGGAUAGGGGUUCUGAGAGGAAGGUCCCCCACAUUGGAACUGAGACACGGUCCAAACUCCUACGGGAGGCAGCAGUGAGGAAUAUUGGUCAAUGGGCGAGAGCCUGAACCAGCCAAGUAGCGUGAAGGAUGACUGCCCUAUGGGUUGUAAACUUCUUUUAUAAAGGAAUAAAGUCGGGUAUGUAUACCCGUUUGCAUGUACUUUAUGAAUAAGGAUCGGCUAACUCCGUGCCAGCAGCCGCGGUAAUACGGAGGAUCCGAGCGUUAUCCGGAUUUAUUGGGUUUAAAGGGAGCGUAGAUGGAUGUUUAAGUCAGUUGUGAAAGUUUGCGGCUCAACCGUAAAAUUGCAGUUGAUACUGGAUAUCUUGAGUGCAGUUGAGGCAGGCGGAAUUCGUGGUGUAGCGGUGAAAUGCUUAGAUAUCACGAAGAACUCCGAUUGCGAAGGCAGCCUGCUAAGCUGCAACUGACAUUGAGGCUCGAAAGUGUGGGUAUCAAACAGGAUUA
Molecule: ribosomal RNA, 759 nt
Filed under: uncultured Bacteroidales bacterium
Lineage: Bacteria; Pseudomonadati; Bacteroidota; Bacteroidia; Bacteroidales
Description: bacterial SSU rRNA
Rfam family: Bacterial small subunit ribosomal RNA
Source: RNAcentral